AUUGAACGCUGGCGGCAGGCCUAACACAUGCAAGUCGAGCGGAGCGGCGGACGGGUGAGUAAGGCCUAGGAAUCGGCCUGGUCGUGGGGGAUGGCGGCCGGAAACGGGCGCUAAUACUGCAUCCUCGCAGAUUCGCCUAGGUCGGAUUCGCUAGUUGGUGGGGUAAAGGGCUACCAAGGCGACGAUCCGUAACUGGUCUGAGAGGAUGAUCAGUCACACUGGAACUGAGACACGGUCCAGACGCCUACGGGAGGCAGCAGUGGGGAAUAUUGGACAAUGGGCGAAAGCCUGAUCCAGCCAUGCCGCGUGUUUGAAGAAGUUCUUCGGAUUGUAAAGCACUUUAAGUUGGGAGGCGUUACCAACAGAAUAAGCACCGGCUAACUUCGUGCCAGCAGCCGCGGUAAUAC
Molecule: ribosomal RNA, 407 nt
Filed under: uncultured bacterium
Lineage: Bacteria
Description: partial 16S ribosomal RNA
Rfam family: Bacterial small subunit ribosomal RNA
Source: RNAcentral